UGUCUAGAACAUAGCGUUAAUGCACAAGAUCCCAUUAGAAAUCCACAAUUAAACGCGCUUGGGAUAGAGUAGUAUUGGGAUGGGUGACCACCCAGGAAGUCCAAUUGUUUUACAUGC
Non-coding RNA from Picea glauca (white spruce), 117 nucleotides. The record is from Rfam. Lineage: Eukaryota; Viridiplantae; Streptophyta; Pinopsida; Pinales; Pinaceae.